GACGAAUGCUGGCGGCGUGCUUAACACAUGCAAGUCGAACGGAAAGGCCCUGCUUUUGUGGGGUGCUCGAGUGGCGAACGGGUGAGUAACACGUGAGUAACCUGCCCUUGACUUUGGGAUAACUUCAGGAAACUGGGGCUAAUACCGGAUAGGAGCUCCUGCUGCAUGGUGGGGGUUGGAAAGGUUCGGCGGUUGGGGAUGGACUCGCGGCUUAUCAGCUUGUUGGUGGGGUAGUGGCUUACCAAGGCUUUGACGGGUAGCCGGCCUGAGAGGGUGACCGGCCACAUUGGGCCUGAGAUACGGCCCAGCCUCCUACGGGAGGCAGCAGUGGGGAAUAUUGCACAAUGGGCGGAAGCCUGAUGCAGCAACGCCGCGUGCGGGAUGACGGCCUUCGGGUUGUAAACCGCUUUCGCCUGUGACGAAGCGUGAGUGACGGUAAUGGGUAAAGAAGCACCGGCUAACUACGUG
This 468-nucleotide ribosomal RNA is filed under the name uncultured bacterium. RNAcentral's name for it is "partial 16S ribosomal RNA". It matches the Rfam family "Bacterial small subunit ribosomal RNA", at positions 28 to 507 of the family's 1533-position model. The record is from RNAcentral.